Molecule: long non-coding RNA, 698 nt
Filed under: Canis lupus familiaris (dog)
Lineage: Eukaryota; Metazoa; Chordata; Mammalia; Carnivora; Canidae
Description: lncRNA (ENSCAFG00040011003.1)
Source: RNAcentral
CCGGCUCUGGGUCGGGUUCACCCAUUGUCCGGGAAGGAAAUGGGUUCGACCGGCGGUCGUCGGCUACAGCCUGACCCCGCGGCGGCCCCGGGGUCCCCCAGCUCCGUGCUGCGGAUGGGGCGACAGGGGCCGAAGGGCCCGCGUUCCCGCGGGGGGAGCCGAGCCUGCAGCUGUUGAGAGCCUCCCAGACCCAUCAGCAAGCUGUCACCGCCUCUCCCGCGGGGAGGUGGGAGGGGGGCUUCAGCCCAAUUCCGGAGCACAAAGGGAGACCGAGAGAACAAAAGCCCAGCUCCCCCCCACCCCCCCCCCAGCGCCCAAGGCGCCCAGACUGAACCUCCGGGGGCCCCACUUCCCCAGACCCCGCUUCCCUCCUCGGGGUUGGGAUGGGGUCGGGCGGGAGGCUGCGGAGCGGGGCCGGGGGGCGCCCACACGCCCCUUGCGGGCUCCAGGCACCCAGGCCCCUGAGAUGCAGAAACGUGGAGGGUGAGCGGUUCCCAAGGUCACCCUGCAGGUUAACGGGGCUCAGGCUGCAGUCCUGUCCUGCAGGCGCCCCAGCGCUCGGGGAGGGGGACCCGAGCUGUGGCUGCUGCGGACACCGGGACCUGGGGAUCCGGCUCCGGUGGGAGCGGGCAACGCGGGGAGGCACCCGUGUAGACGCGCACCCCAGGGCAUCUGCUGGGGGCCCGGAGGACAGCUAG